ACCUGGCUGGCUCAGCCAGUCACAUCAAGAGCAUGUGACUCUUGAUCUCAGGGUUGUGAGUUCAAUCCCCAUGUUGGGUG
RNAcentral lists this transfer RNA (80 nucleotides) under Felis catus (domestic cat). It matches the Rfam family "tRNA". From Rfam's summary of the family: Transfer RNA (tRNA) molecules are approximately 80 nucleotides in length. The record is from Rfam by way of RNAcentral. Lineage: Eukaryota; Metazoa; Chordata; Mammalia; Carnivora; Felidae.